This 475-nucleotide ribosomal RNA is filed under the name uncultured Magnetococcus sp. Its description in RNAcentral is "bacterial SSU rRNA". It matches the Rfam family "Bacterial small subunit ribosomal RNA", at positions 79 to 587 of the family's 1533-position model. Lineage: Bacteria; Pseudomonadati; Pseudomonadota; Magnetococcia; Magnetococcales; Magnetococcaceae. The record is from RNAcentral.
UUCGGGACGCUGGCGAGUGGCGAACGGGUGCGUAACGCGUGGAAACCUGCCCCGAGGUGUGGGACAACAGUUGGAAACGACUGCUAAUACCGCAUAAGCCUUACGAGGGAAAGGCGCAAGUCGCCUUGGGAGGGGUCCGCGUCGGAUUAGCUAGUUGGUGGGGUAAAGGCCUACCAAGGCGAUGAUCCGUAGCUGGUCUGAGAGGAUGAUCAGCCACACUGGGACUGAGACACGGCCCAGACUCCUACGGGAGGCAGCAGUGGGGAAUAUUGCGCAAUGGGAGAAAUCCUGACGCAGCGAUACCGCGUGGGUGAAGAAGGUCUUCGGAUUGUAAAGCCCUUUCAGCAGGAAAGAUGAUGACGGUACCUGCAGAAGAAGCCCCGGCUAACUCCGUGCCAGCAGCCGCGGUAAUACGGAGGGGGCGGGCGUUGUUCGGAAUGACUGGGCGUAAAGGGCGCGUAGGCUGCUCUGCAAG